This 245-nucleotide ribosomal RNA is filed under the name uncultured bacterium. Its description in RNAcentral is "partial 16S ribosomal RNA". It matches the Rfam family "Bacterial small subunit ribosomal RNA", at positions 524 to 768 of the family's 1533-position model. The record is from RNAcentral.
GACAGAGGGUGCAAACGUUGCUCGGAAUUACUGGGCGUAAAGCGCGUGUAGGUGGUUUCGCAAGUCGGGUGUGAAAGCCCAGGGCUCAACCCUGGAAGUGCACUCGAAACUACGGAGCUAGAGUACUGAAGAGGAGAGCGGAAUUCCCGGUGUAGAGGUGAAAUUCGUAGAUAUCGGGAGGAACACCAGUGGCGAAGGCGGCUCUCUGGGCAGAUACUGACACUGAGACGCGAAAGCGUGGGAAG